This 548-nucleotide ribosomal RNA is filed under the name uncultured bacterium. Its description in RNAcentral is "bacterial SSU rRNA". It matches the Rfam family "Bacterial small subunit ribosomal RNA", at positions 355 to 896 of the family's 1533-position model. The record is from RNAcentral.
UAGGGAAUCUUCGGCAAUGGGGGGAACCCUGACCGAGCAACGCCNCGUGAGUGAAGAAGGUUUUCGGAUCGUAAAGCUCUGUUGUUAAGGAAGAACGAGUGUGAGAAUGGAAAGUUCAUACUGUGACGGUACUUAACCAGAAAGGGACGGCUAACUACGUGCCAGCAGCCGCGGUAAUACGUAGGUCCCGAGCGUUGUCCGGAUUUAUUGGGCGUAAAGCGAGCGCAGGCGGUUAGAAAAGUCUGAAGUGAAAGGCAGUGGCUCAACCAUUGUAGGCUUUGGAAACUGUUUAACUUGAGUGCAGAAGGGGAGAGUGGAAUUCCAUGUGUAGCGGUGAAAUGCGUAGAUAUAUGGAGGAACACCGGUGGCGAAAGCGGCUCUCUGGUCUGUAACUGACGCUGAGGCUCGAAAGCGUGGGGAGCGAACAGGAUUAGAUACCCUGGUAGUCCACGCCGUAAACGAUGAGUGCUAGGUGUUAGGUCCUUUCCGGGACUUAGUGCCGCAGCUAACGCAUUAAGCACUCCGCCUGGGGAGUACGACCGCNGNUG